RNAcentral lists this long non-coding RNA (456 nucleotides) under Mytilus galloprovincialis (Mediterranean mussel). Lineage: Eukaryota; Metazoa; Mollusca; Bivalvia; Mytilida; Mytilidae. The record is from RNAcentral.
CAUACCACAUCUAAAUUCUUUUUUAUAAUCCUGCUCGGAAGCCUACUUUCACCUCCUCUUGAGUAUGUUACAACAGUUAUAUACAUGUUAUGAUUGACAAUUUAUAACUUAUGUACUGGCUAACGGAAGAGAUUUAUAAUGAUCAAAACGACCCUGUAAGUAACAUGUACACAAACAACGCAAAUGAAACACAAAUUCGGCAAAAAAGAAAUAAAAAAAAAAUCAGCGCAAAAGAAAUGCAGAUCAGACCUGUGCAAAUGAUGAGUAAUCAAUGAUAGCGUUAAAUUAGAAUUUGAAUGUUAUGGUCCCAUAUCAUGGUUUAAAAGAAUUAGGGACCAAAAACUGGCCAUAAUAAGCAAAACAACGUUUUUCUGGUUUCCGGACAAUAACUUGUGUAAAAGUGUAUUGAUAUCUAUAAAAUUAUACUACAAAUAUUUGCACAACGGAGGGAGGGUU